This 253-nucleotide ribosomal RNA is filed under the name uncultured bacterium. RNAcentral's name for it is "partial 16S ribosomal RNA". It matches the Rfam family "Bacterial small subunit ribosomal RNA", at positions 524 to 776 of the family's 1533-position model. The record is from RNAcentral.
GACAGAGGAGCCAAGCGUUGUCCGGAGUAACUGGGCGUAAAGCGCACGCAGGUGGUCGCGCAAGUGCCAUGUGAAAGCCGGUGGCUUAACUACCGGAGGCCAUGGCAGACUGUGCAACUUGAACUCGUGAGAGGUCCGUGGAAUUGCCGGUGUAGUGGUGACAUGCGUAGAUAUCGGCAGGAACACCCAAGGGGAAGCCAGCGGACUGGCACGGUGUUGACACUGAGGUGCGACAGCGUGGGGAGCGAACCGG